AUUGAACGCUGGCGGCAGGCCUAACACAUGCAAGUCGAACGAGUGGCGGACGGGUGAGUAAUGUAUGGGAAACUGCCUGAUGGAGGGGGAUAACUACUGGAAACGGUAGCUAAUACCGCAUACCAUCGGAUGUGCCCAGAUGGGAUUAGCUAGUAGGUGGGGUAAAGGUUCACCUAGGCGACGCUCCCUAACUGGUCUGUGAGGAUGACCAGCCCAACUGGAACGGAGACACGGUCCAGACUCCUACGGGAGGCAGCAGUGGGGAAUCUUGCACAAUGGGCGCAAGCCUGAUGCAGCCAUGCCGCGUGUAUGAAGAAGGCCUUCGGGUUGUAAAGUACGUUCAGCGGGGAGGCGGUACCCGCAGAAGAAGCACCGGCUAACUCCGUGCCAGCAGCCGCGGUAAUUC
Molecule: ribosomal RNA, 406 nt
Filed under: uncultured bacterium
Lineage: Bacteria
Description: partial 16S ribosomal RNA
Rfam family: Bacterial small subunit ribosomal RNA
Source: RNAcentral